GAACACGGACCAAGGAGUCUAGCAUGUGCGCGAGUCAUUGGGAUUAAUUAAACCUAAAGGCGCAAUGAAAGUAAAGGUUCGCCUCGCGCGAACCGAGGGAGGAUGGGUGUGUAAUAUAAACAUGCCCCGCACUCCCGGGGCGUCUCACUCUCAUAGCGAGAAGAGGCGCACCCAGAGCGUACACGCUGGGACCCGAAAGAUGGUGAACUAUGCUUGGUCAGGACGAAGUCAGGGGAAACCCUGAUGGAGGUCCGUAGCGAUUCUGACGUGCAAAUCGAUCGUCGGAACUGAGUAUAGGAGCGAAAGACUAAUCGAACCAUCUAGUAGCUGG
This 331-nucleotide ribosomal RNA is filed under the name Outenikwanus tomentosus. RNAcentral describes it as "eukaryotic LSU rRNA". It matches the Rfam family "Eukaryotic large subunit ribosomal RNA", at positions 657 to 954 of the family's 3401-position model. Lineage: Eukaryota; Metazoa; Arthropoda; Insecta; Coleoptera; Scarabaeidae. The record is from RNAcentral.